Molecule: ribosomal RNA, 253 nt
Filed under: uncultured bacterium
Lineage: Bacteria
Description: partial 16S ribosomal RNA
Rfam family: Bacterial small subunit ribosomal RNA
Source: RNAcentral
UACAUGGGGUGCAAACGUUGCUCGGAAUCAUUGGGCGUAAAGCGCGCGUAGGCGGCCUCAUAAGUCCGUUGUGAAAGUCAAAGGCUCAACCUUUGAAAGCCGAUGGAUACUGUGAGGCUAGAGUCCGGAAGAGGCGAGUGGAAUUCCUGGUGUAGCGGUGGAAUGCGCAGAUAUCAGGAGGAACACCAAUAGCGAAGGCAGCUCGCUGGGACGGUACUGACGCUAAGGCGCGAAAGCGUGGGGAGCGAACAGG